This 436-nucleotide ribosomal RNA is filed under the name denitrifying bacterium W49b. RNAcentral's name for it is "bacterial SSU rRNA". It matches the Rfam family "Bacterial small subunit ribosomal RNA", at positions 12 to 496 of the family's 1533-position model. The record is from RNAcentral. Lineage: Bacteria; Pseudomonadati; Pseudomonadota; Alphaproteobacteria.
UUUGAUCCUGGCUCAGAACGAACGCUGGCGGCAGGCUUAACACAUGCAAGUCGAGCGCCUCGCAAGAGGAGCGGCAGACGGGUGAGUAACGCGUGGGAAUCUACCCAUCUCUACGGAACAACUCCGGGAAACUGGAGCUAAUACCGUAUACGUCCUUCGGGAGAAAGAUUUAUCGGAGAUGGAUGAGCCCGCGUUGGAUUAGCUAGUUGGUGGGGUAAUGGCCUACCAAGGCGACGAUCCAUAGCUGGUCUGAGAGGAUGAUCAGCCACACUGGGACUGAGACACGGCCCAGACUCCUACGGGAGGCAGCAGUGGGGAAUAUUGGACAAUGGGCGAAAGCCUGAUCCAGCCAUGCCGCGUGAGUGAUGAAGGCCCUAGGGUUGUAAAGCUCUUUCAACGGUGAAGAUAAUGACGGUAACCGUAGAAGAAGCCCCGG